RNAcentral lists this transfer RNA (90 nucleotides) under Erythrobacter sp. RNAcentral's name for it is "tRNA-Ser". It matches the Rfam family "tRNA". From Rfam's summary of the family: Transfer RNA (tRNA) molecules are approximately 80 nucleotides in length. The record is from RNAcentral. RNAcentral also lists the same sequence under 1 other name. Lineage: Bacteria; Pseudomonadati; Pseudomonadota; Alphaproteobacteria; Sphingomonadales; Erythrobacteraceae.
GGAGACGUGGCCGAGUGGUCGAAGGCGCACGCCUGGAAAGUGUGUAAAGGGGUAACUCUUUCGUGGGUUCGAAUCCCACCGUCUCCGCCA